Molecule: ribosomal RNA, 496 nt
Filed under: uncultured bacterium
Lineage: Bacteria
Description: partial 16S ribosomal RNA
Rfam family: Bacterial small subunit ribosomal RNA
Source: RNAcentral
AUGAACGCUGGCGGCGUGCCUAAUACAUCCAAGUCGAGCGAACGGACGAGAAGCUUGCUUCUCUGAUGUUAGCGGCGGACGGGUGAGUAACACGUGGAUAACCUACCUAUAAGACUGGGAUAACUUCGGGAAACCGGAGCUAAUACCGGAUGAUAUUUUGAACCGCAUGGUUCAAAAGUGAAAGACGGUCUUGCUGUCACUUAUAGAUGGAUCCGCGCUGCAUUAGCUAGUUGGUAAGGUAACGGCUUACCAAGGCAACGAUGCAUAGCCGACCUGAGAGGGUGAUCGGCCACACUGGAACUGAGACACGGUCCAGACUCCUACGGGAGGCAGCAGUAGGGAAUCUUCCGCAUUGGGCGAAAGCCUGACGGAGCAACGCCGCGUGAGUGAUGAAGGUCUUCGGAUCGUAAAACUCUGUUAUUAGGGAAGAACAUAUGUGUAAGUAACUGUGCACAUCUUGACGGUACCUAAUCAGAAAGCCACGGCUAACUACGUG